UCAGUUUGAAGAGGCCGAGCUACCCAGCCUGCUUCCACUUUGCCAUUUGCCUCCUUUCCUUCACUCCCGCUUCUCCACCCCCUCCUUUUUUUUUUUUUUUUUGAAGACAAUCUUAAAGUAACAAUUUAAUGAAAUUCUGCACACACACCCCCUUACGGUCCUCCCAGCUCUCCUCAUUCCUGUUCAAAACACACAUUCCUGUUUUUGUUUUGUUUUGCUUUCUUUUUUCCCUCCUUCACUCCCCCUCCCCCUUAUUAUUUUUUUUCCCCUCCUGGCGGGAGAAAAAAAAAAAUCUAUCUCUUCUCUCAGGAUCCCCUUUGCACUUUGCUGGUAAACCUCAUCCUUCUGUAUAGCACAUAAAGAGUCUUGAAACUUGAUUCUCAGAUUUUUUUUUUCAAAUGCUGUCUUUUUCUCCCUCUCUUUCACUCUCUCUUUCUCACCCUUACUCUCCUAUCUUUCUCUCUCCUCUCUCUCUCCCUCCGCCUCCCUCCCUUACUCCCUCUUUCUUUCCACUCCAUUUCUUUCCCUCUUCCUCUUUCCCUUCUCUCCUGCCUUCCCUAUCCUUUUCUCCCUUUCUCUUUUUCCUUCUUAGAAUUCCCUAAAGUUAUGCAAUGAUUAAAAUUCCCCCUUUCCCUGAGCCCCAGUGCUGCUGGCUUCAGCUAGUCCCAGUGUUGUCUCCACAGCCCUCAUGGAUCCAUCAGAAGAAACCAGAGGAAAGGAUAUUCCAAAGCAUCUGCCUUUCAGAAGCUGUGGACUCAGCACAACCAGGCACAGAGAGGAAGGGAUAGAGAGAUUCAAGUCUCAGCUCCUUGAGUUCUGGACCUCAGUCCCUAAGUGCAUUGGGAGCAAUUGGCAAAGCCUCUGGCUGGUCGUUCGUUGAACAUACAUGUGUUAUUUUAUCCCACCUGUGUUGGAAGACGCUCUUACUUUUAUGCCAGACAAAUGUAUUUCGUGGCUUAUUUGAGAAGAGGCCUUGAGUCACAUAAUGGACGAUGCUUUCAAAUCUGCUUUUUCCAGAAAUUGCAGAAUCACCCACUGUCCAAUUGGCCACUUUUUGUAUAAACUGAGAUUGAAGGCAUGCAAUUAAUGUUUCUUCAGUGAAGACCUUUCCCUGGGAAACUAAUCCAGCAAUGCUUUCUGAUGAACUUGAUCUAUACCAAUUAAGAAUAACAUGACUCGUUGAGCACCUUCUGUAUUCAAUGAAUGGACCUGAGGGCACAUAUUCUCACAACCAGUUGCCGAGAUUUGUUUUGCUCUGUUUGUUUUAAAAGCUAAGGAAAUUCAAGUUCAGAAAGAGGGAGAAAUUUACUCCAAAUCACCUAGCUAGAAGAUACAUGUCCAAUCCCAAACUCGAACCUAUGUGCUGUUCUCCGAUCUAGUAUAAA
This is a long non-coding RNA of Rhinolophus ferrumequinum (greater horseshoe bat), 1385 nucleotides long. RefSeq lists it as uncharacterized. The transcript is spliced from 3 exons. Lineage: Eukaryota; Metazoa; Chordata; Mammalia; Chiroptera; Rhinolophidae. The record is from RefSeq and is a predicted model, not a curated record.